UACGUAGGGUGCAAGCGUUAAUCGGAAUUACUGGGCGUAAAGCGUGCGCAGGCGGUUAUGCAAGACAGAUGUGAAAUCCCCGGGCUCAACCUGGGAACUGCAUUUGUGACUGCAUAGCUAGAGUACGGUAGAGGGGGAUGGAAUUCCGCGUGUAGCAGUGAAAUGCGUAGAUAUGCGGAGGAACACCGAUGGCGAAGGCAAUCCCCUGGACCUGUACUGACGCUCAUGCACGAAAGCGUGGGGAGCAAGCAGG
RNAcentral lists this ribosomal RNA (253 nucleotides) under uncultured bacterium. Its description in RNAcentral is "partial 16S ribosomal RNA". It matches the Rfam family "Bacterial small subunit ribosomal RNA", at positions 524 to 776 of the family's 1533-position model. The record is from RNAcentral.